This is a long non-coding RNA of Passer domesticus (house sparrow), 2010 nucleotides long. RefSeq lists it as uncharacterized. The record is from RefSeq and is a predicted model, not a curated record. Lineage: Eukaryota; Metazoa; Chordata; Aves; Passeriformes; Passeridae. The transcript is spliced from 5 exons.
GUCACCUGCACCACACAGCUCAGCAAAUGUGCUGAGAGUGCCUCAGUCCCUCUCUCCAUGUCCCUGACAAGGAUGUUGAACAGCCCUGGUCCCAGUACAGACCCCUGGGGAUGACACUCCUCACUGGCCCCCACCUGGACAUUGAGCCACUGACCACAGCUCUUUAGGUGCCACCAGCCAGCAAAUUCCUCAUGCACCAUGAGGAAUGUUGUCUGACAAAUCCAGCUUUCUUCAGUUUAGAGACAAGGAUCUUGUGUGGGACGGUGUCAAAUGCUUUGCACAAGUUCAGGUCCAUGGUGUCAAGUCCUUCACUUAUCCACCAGUGCUGUAACCCCCCUCACAAAAGGCCACCAUAUUAGUCAGGCAUGAGUUGUCCUCGGAAAAACAAACCUGUUUUUUCACAAAACAAGAGCUCCAUGGGGGACACUGCAAGGAGUGACUCACAGAGUGUGAUAUGUUUGCCCAUCCUGAAGCUGAACAUGCAAAUAUCUGUUCCCACAGCAGCCAGAGGAAUAGCAAGGAUGCCAGUCUGUGGCCUCUCUUCUGUCAGCACAGGACAAAACUAUUUCAGGAAGCUCUCAUCAGUGUAUGAUGCCACAAAGACAAAUGAAGGGAGAAAGAGUGGGGUGAGGGAAGCCAAGGAGUACCAGUAAAAGGAAGAAGCAGUUUAUAGAGCAAAUAAAAAGCUGUGCAGACACAAUUAGUCUUCCCACAGUACUGCUCGUGUUCCAACAUAUUCAAGGAUGAUACAGGGACUGCUGAAGGAUGAAGAGAAAUCUGUUGCAAAGAUGCGUUAGAGAGAAAGGGAAUGGAGAAAAGGAAGAGAAUAAGGAAAAGAAAAAGAAGAGAGGAAGGGCAAGGAGGUAUAUAGCUACUGGACGUGCGGAUGACAAAGUCCCUCGAAGUCCGGUCGACGAAGAGGCCUAUCGUCUUCAUGUCAGGGGAGAUCUCAAAGGGAUGUAUCAUCUUUAAACAAUGAACAAUGUAUUGGAUGAAAAUUACCCAAAUACUACACUGGAGAGGAAUUCAGGUUGCCAGUUCUACCAGAGGACCAGAAAGAAGGAAAGAAACCUCUGUUUGUACCAUAUAAAAGCAGUCGGUUUUUCUUCAUGCUGCAAGCAAUAUGUCUGACCCUGGAGAGUGAAUGUUCCAAAGUCUGGCAAUCAUAUCUGUAGUCCUGAAAAAUCCCAAAGAAUUUCCAACAUGGGAACUACCUGGAAAUUUCCUUUUACUUGAGAAUUUUACUUUUUAUUCCUAGCACUUUGCUGUGGAUUGCUUAGGUUUAAAGCAGUGCUGAACAGCAGCAUUGCUCUCUGACACUUGAAAGGCUGUUCUGCCUUCAGCAUACACUUGUAAUCCCCAUUAAUGUCAGUGGAACUCAUAGAUGCAAAACUGGACAUUUUGGAAUGCACCACCGGGGCCAGUCUUCAAAUGGAUGAGAGGUGGAAAGACAAGAGCCACUCACAGAGGCAGGAGGAACUUCAGGAGACAAAUAUUAAUUCCCCAUUUUAUGCCUAUUUUAUGUUCUGCAUUUCCUGAGCUCAAACCUGUGAAAUACAAGGCUGUUUUAAUAUCAGGGUGCUGAGAGCAUUCAGCAGCUUGCAGAAUUGAACCAUCUGAUUUUUCUGUGUGUCUGCAUAUGACUGAAAUCAUAUGUUUGUUUGGUUUUCAGAAACUAUGUGUAUGGAAAAUAAUUGUAAAGUGCUUUUUCUCUCUCUUAAGAAUAACUUGACUUGCUGUCUAAACCUGGCACAUAUUAUUAUUCCAACAAGUCCAACAUGCAAGCACAUAUGUAACAUUUAUAAAAACAAUGCUUGAAAAUAUCCAUCCUCACUAGAGGUUUGCCCCCAAACAUCUUUACCACAUUCCAAAAUGUAAAUAGUCGGGCAUCUAUACAUUGUGUCAGUUGUAAAUCAAACAGGUAAACAUAUAGCCUCACACUUUCAGGUUUAGAAAACAGCUUUUCUUUCUCUUCUGCUGUCAGUGAGGCUAUUCCUGCUGCCACCCCAG